RNAcentral lists this ribosomal RNA (3006 nucleotides) under Triticum aestivum (bread wheat). RNAcentral's name for it is "partial small subunit ribosomal RNA". Lineage: Eukaryota; Viridiplantae; Streptophyta; Magnoliopsida; Poales; Poaceae. The record is from RNAcentral.
AUGGCCCACCUCCAGCUCGCGGCGGUCGCCGGGGGCGGCCGCGCGGGCGACGACAUGGAGGACGUGGCGCUGCUGGGCUCCUACGACGAGGAGAUGGGCGGCGCGGCGCCGGCGGGAGGCGGCGCGGAGGACGCGGAGGAGGAGGCGGAGGCGCACGUGCGGGUGACGGGCAUGACGUGCUCCGCCUGCACCGGCGCUGUCGAGGCCGCCGUCUCCGCCCGCCGCGGCGUGCGGCGCGUCGCCGUCUCCCUGCUCCAGAACCGCGCCCGCGUCGUCUUCGACCCCGCGCUCCUCAAGGUUGAGGAUAUAAUAGAAGCUAUAGAAGAUGCUGGAUUUGACGCUGAAAUUCUUCCAGAUUCUGCAGUCCCUCAACCUAAGUCACAGAAGACAUUGUCAGCACAAUUUAGGAUAGGAGGAAUGACAUGUGCCAAUUGUGUAAACUCGGUUGAGGGUAUCUUAAAGAAACAACCUGGUAUAAAAGGAGCAGUCGUUGCCUUGGCAACCUCAUUAGGAGAAGUUGAGUAUGAUCCGUCUACCAUUAGCAAGGAUGAAAUUGUUCAAGCUAUUGAGGAUGCUGGUUUUGAAGCUGCAUUCUUACAGAGUAGCGAGCAAGAUAAGAUAUUGCUAGGCCUGACUGGCACCCACACAGAGAGGGAUGCAGAUAUACUACAUGAUAUCCUGAAGAAAAUGGAUGGUUUGCGACAGUUUGCUGUAAAUACUACCCUCUCCGAAGUUGAGAUUGUAUUUGAUCCAGAAGCUGUAGGUCUGCGAUCAAUUGUGGAUACUAUUGAAACGGGAAGCAAUGGGAGAUUCAAAGCGCAUGUGCAGAAUCCUUACAGCCGAGGGGCUUCAAAUGACGCACAUGAGGCCUCCAAAAUGCUCCAUCUUCUUCGUUCUAGCUUAUUCCUAAGUAUUCCUGUAUUUUUCAUACGUAUGAUCUGCCCGAGUAUACCUUUCAUCAGUACAUUGCUUCUCAGGCAUUGUGGACCAUUUCAUAUGGGGGAUUUGGUGAACUGGAUAUUGGUUAGCAUUGUACAGUUUGUUGUUGGCAAGAGAUUCUAUGUUGCAGCUUACAGAGCCUUAAGACAUGGUUCUACGAAUAUGGAUGUGUUAGUUGUUCUUGGCACCACUGCAUCAUAUGUAUAUUCCGUUUGUGCACUACUAUACGGAGCAUUCACUGGAUUUCAACCUCCAAUAUAUUUUGAGACAAGUGCAAUGAUAAUUACGUUUGUGUUAUUUGGGAAGUAUCUCGAGGUUCUUGCAAAGGGGAAGACAUCAGAUGCUAUUAAAAAGCUUGUAGAACUUGUCCCUGCUACUGCUAUUUUGCUUCUGAAAGAUAAAGAAGGAAAAUAUGUUGGGGAGAGGGAGAUUGAUGCUCUGUUAGUCCAACCUGGUGAUGUCUUGAAAGUGCUUCCUGGUUCGAAAGUUCCUUCUGAUGGUGUUGUUGUUUGGGGAACAAGCCAUAUCAAUGAAAGUAUGAUAACUGGUGAAUCUGCACCGAUGCCUAAAGAAGUAUCAAGUGUAGUAAUUGGAGGGACAAUCAACUUACAGGGCAUCCUUCAUAUACAAGCAACGAAAGUAGGAUCCGGGACAGUUUUGAGUCAGAUAAUAUCUCUGGUUGAAACCGCUCAAAUGUCCAAAGCUCCUAUUCAGAAAUUUGCCGAUUAUGUGGCUAGCAUUUUCGUUCCAAUUGUCAUCACCUUGUCCAUUCUAACGUUCUCCGUGUGGUUCUUAUGUGGAUCGUUCGGAGCAUAUCCACAUUCAUGGUUUGAUGGAACUAGCAAUUGCUUCGUUUUCUCCCUCAUGUUCUCCAUAUCUGUUGUGGUGAUUGCUUGCCCUUGUGCCCUUGGUCUGGCAACACCAACUGCUGUAAUGGUGGCAACUGGAAUAGGGGCUAAUCAUGGAGUACUUGUAAAAGGUGGAGAUGCAUUGGAGAGGGCUCAAAAUGUAAAUUACGUGAUCUUUGAUAAAACAGGGACACUAACACAAGGAAAGGCUGUUGUUACAACUGCAAAGGUUUUCUCCGGAAUGGACCUUGGAGAUUUCCUCACACUAGUAGCAUCUGCAGAGGCAAGCAGUGAGCAUCCUCUUGCCAAAGCUGUAUUGGAAUAUGCAUUUCAUUUCCAUUUCUUUGGCAAGCUCCCUUCCUCAAAGGAUGGCAUUGAGCAAAGAAAAGAGCAGAUAUUGUCCCAAUGGUUGCUUGAAGCUGAAGAUUUCUCUGCUGUGCCUGGCAAAGGAGUGCAAUGUUUGAUCAACGAUAAGACGGUUUUGAUUGGAAACCGUGCCCUGAUGAACGAAAAUGGGGUGAGCGUUCCCCCGGAAGCUGAAAGUUUCUUGGUAGACCUGGAACUGAAUGCAAAAACAGGCAUUCUGGUGGCAUAUGACAGCAGUUUUGUGGGGUUGAUGGGGAUAGCCGAUCCCCUGAAAAGAGAGGCUGCUGUAGUCGUGGAAGGACUGAAGAAGAUGGGCAUUCAUCCAGUGAUGCUCACAGGCGACAACUGGAGGACUGCACAAGCUGUUGCGAAAGAGGUUGGCAUUGAGGAUGUGAGAGCAGAGGUCAUGCCCGCGGGCAAAGCCGACGUGGUCCGGUCGCUCCAGAAGGACGGGAGCAUAGUGGCCAUGGUCGGGGACGGCAUCAACGACUCCCCGGCCCUCGCGGCGGCGGACGUCGGGAUGGCCAUCGGGGGCGGCACAGACAUCGCCAUCGAGGCGGCGGACUACGUGCUGGUGAGGAACAACCUGGAGGACGUGAUCACGGCGAUCGACCUCUCGAGGAAGACCUUCAACCGGAUCCGCUGGAACUACUUCUUCGCCAUGGCGUACAACGUGGUCGCCAUACCGGUGGCCGCCGGCGCGCUGUUCCCAGUGACGGGGCUCCAGAUGCCGCCGUGGCUGGCCGGCGCCUGCAUGGCCUUCUCGUCCGUGAGCGUGGUGUGCUCCUCGUUGCUGCUGCGGAGAUACAGAAAACCCAGGCUCACCACCGUGCUGCAGAUAACUGUAGAGUAG